This 277-nucleotide long non-coding RNA is filed under the name Lathyrus oleraceus (garden pea). RNAcentral's name for it is "Pisum sativum (pea) long non-coding RNA (PSAT_LNC000489)". The record is from RNAcentral. Lineage: Eukaryota; Viridiplantae; Streptophyta; Magnoliopsida; Fabales; Fabaceae.
UUCAUUCCGAUUACCUGUACUGACUCACUUUUCUUUGAUGGCAUUAGCUUGGAAGGAUCUCAGGGUUUCCCAUUCCUCUAAUUGUUGUUACUUCGGAUCUUUAUCCGCGUGGUACUUUUACAUUUUUCCCGCAUUUUACUGCUUUCCUAGCUGGAAGACCUCGAUAGGAGGCAACGUUUGAGCCCCUUGGUGGCAUUUUACUUUGAGAUACAUGUUUUGUGUUUUGUAUUCAUAUCCCUGCAGGUAGCGCGGUUCCUUCGUCAAGGACUGCCUUUUU